CCAGAACUAUCUCUUCUUAUUGGUAGGAGCCCCUGCGCAAGUAAACUAAACCAGAAACCUCAGCUCUCUCUCUCUCUCUCUCUCUCCCGCUUUCCUUGUAUUUCUUUCUUUCUUUCUUUCUGGAUCCUUCUGUGUUUUCGAUCUUCAACCAUGGUUCUCGAGGCUACAAUGAUCUGUGUUGAUAAUUCAGAAUGGAUGCGAAAUGGUGAUUAUUCGCCCUCUAGAUUUCAAGCUCAGGCCGAUGCUGUUAAUCUUAUUUGUGGAGCUAAGACACAGUCUAAUCCGGAGAAUACAGUUGGAGUUCUGACAAUGGCUGGGAAAGGUGUCCGUGUUUUGGUCACUCCUACCAGUGAUCUUGGAAAGAUCCUGGCAUGUAUGCAUGGUUUAGAAAUUGGUGGUGACAUGAACCUGGCAGCUGGUAUCCAGGUGGCUCAGUUGGCUCUCAAGCAUCGCCAAAAUAAGAAGCAGCAACAAAGAAUUAUUGUCUUUGUUGGAAGUCCAAUUAAACAUGAUAAGAAGGCGCUGGAGAUGAUUGGAAGGAAGUUGAAAAAGAACAGUGUAGCACUUGAUAUUGUUGACUUUGGCGAAGAAGAUGAUGGUAAACCUGAGAAGCUAGAGGCACUUCUUGCUGCCGUGAACAAUAAUGACACCAGCCACAUUGUCCAUGUUCCACCUGGUCCAAGUGCUCUUUCUGAUGUACUCAUAAGUACACCUGUCUUCACUGGGGAUGGGGAAGGUGGAAGUGGUUUUGCUGCAGCAGCCGCAGCAGCUGCAGCUGGUGGUGUCUCUGGCUUUGAUUUUGGUGUAGAUCCCAACCUCGAUCCUGAGCUGGCCCUUGCUCUCAGGGUUUCCAUGGAAGAGGAGAGGGCCAGACAGGAAGCAGCUGCUAAAAAGGCUGCCGAGGAGGCUUCUAAACAGGAAAAAGGAGGGGAACAGGCAUCCAGCUCACAGGAUGCAACUAUGACUGAGCGUGCCACUGUUGCAACUUCUGAAGCUGAAAAUAAGACGAAUGAUUCAGCGGAUGAUGAUAAUGCACUGCUACAGCAGGCUCUUGCUAUGUCAAUGGAUCAACCUGCCUCCGGCCAUGAUGCGCGAGACACAGAUAUGUCAGAUGCAGCUGGAGAUGAUCCAGAAUUGGCUCUAGCACUUCAAUUGUCUGUACAAGAAGGUAAUAAAGACCCAACAAGCCAGACUGAUAUGAGUAAACUGCUGGCUGAUCAGAAUUUUGUGUCUAACAUACUUGCCUCGGUAUCUUCCAGGGGUUGAUCCAAAUGAUCCUUCAGUUAAAGAUUUGCUUGCUUCCAUGCAAAGCCAGUCAGAGCCUGAACAGAAGAAGAAGGAUGAUGACAAUGCACCUAACGAGGACGGGAAGUGAACUUGAAUCUAGAGUUGUUUUAGAAGUCAAAAAGCUCUCCAUUGUUUGCACCGUUAUUUGUGUUGGAAAGGGCUAUCAGUCGAGCAAAGUGUGCAACAUUGAAAUGUAACUCUACAUUGUUUCAACAUUAAUACAUCUUUACCUUACUGAGAAUUAUGCAUUUGAUUCUAUUUUUAUUUUAUUUUAUUUUAUUUUAUUUA
Molecule: RNA transcript, 1575 nt
Organism: Ziziphus jujuba (common jujube)
Lineage: Eukaryota; Viridiplantae; Streptophyta; Magnoliopsida; Rosales; Rhamnaceae
Gene name: 26S proteasome non-ATPase regulatory subunit 4 homolog
Exons: 10
Source: RefSeq, a predicted model, not a curated record